UACGAAGGGGGCUAGCGUUGCUCGGAAUCACUGGGCGUAAAGCGCACGUAGGCGGAUCGUUAAGUCGGGGGUGAAAUCCUGGAGCUCAACUCCAGAACUGCCUCCGAUACUGGCGAUCUUGGAGUCCGGGAGAGGUGAGUGGAACUCCGAGUGUAGAGGUGAAAUUCGUAGAUAUUGGGAAGAACACCGGUGGCGAAGGCGGCGCUCUGGACCGAGACUGACGCUGAGGCGCGAAAGCGUGGGGAGCAAACAGG
RNAcentral lists this ribosomal RNA (254 nucleotides) under uncultured bacterium. RNAcentral's name for it is "partial 16S ribosomal RNA". It matches the Rfam family "Bacterial small subunit ribosomal RNA", at positions 524 to 776 of the family's 1533-position model. The record is from RNAcentral.